Molecule: non-coding RNA, 2185 nt
Organism: Paramuricea clavata
Lineage: Eukaryota; Metazoa; Cnidaria; Anthozoa; Malacalcyonacea; Plexauridae
Source: the annotation of a GenBank genome assembly
CUUAGACCCCUUUUACAUGACACUGGAAACCGGAACCAUUUCGUUUCGGUCAUAGUAUUAUAUAUAAUAGAUGUUUUCGUGAGACCCGGACGAAAAUAACACUCGGAGCCCUUUUCCGCCUGCGCUCCUUCGCCCAGCGGCUCCGCUCGUGUUCCAAGAUCCGUCAUGUAAAGUGUAGUGAAAUGUAUCUUAAUACUUAUCGUAAUCAUAGCCAACAGAAGCCUCUGCGUAGGAGAGAGACUCGGACCGAAUGACUUCAGACCGGCAUGAAUUCAGCCUGAGAUGAAUCACAAAUACAUUUCAGACCGAUCUCGGCUGUAACCCGCUUGACAUUGGAACAACACAUGCUAACAAAAGCCAUCUAAAAAGAAAAAUUGCAUGGCAAGGAGCCGUAAAUCGAAUAGUUUGUGAUUUUCGUACCGGUCUCAUGUAAACAUGUUCACAAUUUUGUACCAGUUUUAUUCCGGUUUAACUUUGUCCCGGUCUAAUAUAAACGGGGCUUUUUAUUAUAGUGAGGGAUGCUGGAAGUUGCUGAGGGCAAGGGGUACGAUUUGUUACCAAAAGGACACAUUUUUUUUAAAAAAAGGAGAAACAAAAAUGAAAGGGCACUUACCUACUUGGCUAUAGGCCGUGGGCUGUUGUGCGAAAAAGUGCCUAGAAAAGCAAUUUCGUGGCACCCUCCUGGGAAAUAGAUUUUCUGUGGUUCAAUUCAUAGAACCAUAGAUGCUUAAUUACCACAAAAAGUUCCCAAGCAAAAAACUUGCCCAACACCGAGAAAAUGGGUGAUCAGUGAUUAUCCUCUAUUAAAUUGUAUUACAGCAAGAAAAUGUGAAAUUUUGUAUUUAAUUACAACAAAAAUGACUUGCAUCAUCAGAAAGCUUUAGACAGUUAAACAGUUUUUUAUAUCUAAAAUUGUUUUCGAGUUAUACGCUGUCAAAAACGCGUUUUGGACCUAGUACCCAGUCCCUAUUGCGACAUUUUGGUCCAAUUUUCACAUUUAAAACAGCAAUAACUCAAAGACUAUUUGAAAAAUCAAAAAACUGUUUAAAAGUCUUACGAUGUACGUUUUCCGAUGAUGCAAGUCAUUUUUAUUGUAAAGGAAUUAUAAAAUUUCCCAUUUUUUGCUGUAAUACAAUUUAAUAAAGGAUAAUCGUUGAUCACCCAUUUUCUCGGUAUUGGGCAACUUUUUUGCUUGGGAACUUUUUUUGGUAGUGAUGUACCUAUAUGCCUUUCAAAUAAACCCCAAACCAAGUAUUUCCAACAUGGAUGCCACGAAGCGAAAUAAUUUUGGCCAACAGCCCACGGCCUACUUAUAACCUAAUUUAAAAUCAAACACAAGCAAUGAAGCAACCUUUUAUUAAUGUCAAACAUUAAAAUAAGGCACACAGAAUUAGCAGAAACCGUUUCGCUUUCUCUUCCACUGAAGAAAGCUUUAUGUGGCCGUUUACUAGGUUAUGAAACGUUCAUUGUUUAUAACAUAUAAACUUAAUAAACUCCUCCAAAGUAACCUGGUAUUCAUUUUAAAUCUUUUGUGCACCCAUUGCACCCAUAGUCUAGACGCACCCGCACUGCACCCAAAAAGUUAUGAAUACCAGAAUACAAAAGGCAUGGGGUGCACUUGCACCCGCUGCACCCGUGGUUCCUGGGAUCCCUGAUUAUAGUUCAGCAUACGGAAUAAGCCAUUCAAAUUCCAACAAAGGCUUGAUUUGAAAAGGUGUACUUUUUUUCGGGACAUCUUGUUACUAUUUAAGUGGUGCAUAAAUAGAUAACUAACACUAUACAGGGUGUAUCAAAAAACCUGCAGACCUUUGAAAUACAAUGUUUUUAGAAUUUGCAUGAUUCAGAACUAAUAGAUCCCAAGCGUGUGAAAACACAAUAGUUGAAGCUAGUUGACCCAUUCGCAGUCGAACUGAUAAUUAGUUUUCAGCAUUACAAAUAACUUUGUGUCAGGGCCUUUUCAUAUGGGGAAAAGUUAUCCCGGUUAGCGAGAAAACAUUUCGACUAGCCAAAUAAUUUUGUUCUGUUCAUAUGGAGAAACGUUAUCCCGCUUACCGAGUAAAGUUUCCGGUUUGUGACGUAGUACUGAUGUGACGCGCAAGGAUUUGUAAGAAUGUUUUCCCGGGAAAGUUGCGGCUAUGCUAAGCGGGAAAGUUGUGGCUAUGCUGUGUUAAUAUGGGAAAAACAU